RNAcentral lists this ribosomal RNA (106 nucleotides) under Phycisphaerales bacterium. The record is from RNAcentral. Lineage: Bacteria; Pseudomonadati; Planctomycetota; Phycisphaerae; Phycisphaerales.
UGCGGUGAUAAUACGUGCAGGGAAACACCCGUUACCAUUCCGAACACGGUAGUGAAGUCUGCACGGCCGAUGGUAGUCGCGAGGCGAGAGUAGGUGAUUGCCGCAU